GGGGAGGUGGCUCAGGGGUAGAGUGCUUGCCUAGCAUGCAUGAAGCCCUGGGUUCGAGUCCUCAGUACCCCA
This is a non-coding RNA of Dipodomys ordii (Ord's kangaroo rat), 72 nucleotides long. NCBI's taxonomy places the organism in Eukaryota, Metazoa, Chordata, Mammalia, Rodentia, Heteromyidae. The record is from Rfam.